This 432-nucleotide ribosomal RNA is filed under the name uncultured bacterium. Its description in RNAcentral is "partial 16S ribosomal RNA". It matches the Rfam family "Bacterial small subunit ribosomal RNA", at positions 29 to 506 of the family's 1533-position model. The record is from RNAcentral.
AGCGAACGCUGGCGGCAGGCCUAGCACAUGCAAGUCGAACGAACUCUUCGGAGUUAGUGGCGGACGGGUGAGUAACACGUGGGAACGUGCCUUUUGGUUCGGAAUAACUCAGGGAAACUUGUGCUAAUACCGAAUGUGCCCUUCGGGGGAAAGAUUUAUCGCCAUUAGAGCGGCCCGCGUCUGAUUAGCUAGUUGGUGAGGUAACGGCUCACCAAGGCGACGAUCAGUAGCUGGUCUGAGAGGAUGACCAGCCACACUGGGACUGAGACACGGCCCAGACUCCUACGGGAGGCAGCAGUGGGGAAUCUUGCGCAAUGGGCGAAAGCCUGACGCAGCCAUGCCGCGUGAAUGAUGAAGGUCUUAGGAUUGUAAAAUUCUUUCACCGGGGACGAUAAUGACGGUACCCGGAGAAGAAGCCCCGGCUAACUUCGU